ACUGCUCUGAUGUGAUUGGACGAGAGAACUGCGAUAGAUUUUGUCGUAAUGGAACAUGUCUCCAAGUUUCACCUUUCUCCUUCAAAUGUGUGUGUUACACAGGACAACCAGGUCCACCUUGUGGGACAUCUUGUGAUCCCAACCCAUGUAGGAAUGGCGGAGAGUGUGAGGAGAGCUCCGAGAGCGUCGCUGGAUAUGCUUGUGCUUGUCUGGAGGGAUUCACGGGCCUCCGCUGUGACACCCCCGUUAACAUCAAUUGCCUUUCAUACGAAUGUCAGCGGGAAAAGGCGUGCUCCUUGGGGGAACAUACCUCUCCUGAGUGUGCAGCCUCAGUCUGGCAGUGUUCAGAUGGCACCACAGGCCCACAGUGCAGGAGGCAGCGAGGCCCGUGCAGCCCUUCGCCCUGCCACAACAACGCCAGCUGUUUAGUCCAAGGAGAGGAC
This is a long non-coding RNA of Oncorhynchus nerka (sockeye salmon), 443 nucleotides long. RefSeq lists it as uncharacterized. Lineage: Eukaryota; Metazoa; Chordata; Actinopteri; Salmoniformes; Salmonidae. The record is from RefSeq and is a predicted model, not a curated record. The transcript has 3 exons.